Molecule: non-coding RNA, 102 nt
Organism: Rhodofomes roseus
Lineage: Eukaryota; Fungi; Basidiomycota; Agaricomycetes; Polyporales; Fomitopsidaceae
Source: the annotation of a RefSeq genome assembly
GCCCGCCUAGCUCAAUCGGAUAGAGCGUCAGACUCUUAUUCCCGUGUUUCAUUGUCGUAGGCGGCAAUCUGAAGGCUGCGAGUUCGACCCUCGCGGUGGGCU